GUGCCAGCAGCCGCGGUAAUACGUAGGGUGCAAGCGUUGUCCGGAAUUAUUGGGCGUAAAGAGCGUGUAGGCGGCCCGAUUAGUCCGCUGUGAAAGUCCAGGGCUCAACCCUGGAAUGCCGGUGGAUACUGUCGGGCUAGAGUCCGGAAGGGGCGAGUGGAAUUCCUGGUGUAGCGGUGAAAUGCGCAGAUAUCAGGAGGAACACCAAUGGCGAAGGCAGCUCGCUGGGACGUGACUGACGCUGAGACGCGAAAGCGUGGGGAGCAAACAGGAUUAGAUACCCUGGUAGUCCACGCUGUAAACGAUGGCAACUAGAUGUGGGGGGUGUCGACUCCCCCCGUGUCGAAGCUAACGCAUUAAGUUGCCCGCCUGGGGAGUACGGCCGCAAGGCUAAA
Molecule: ribosomal RNA, 395 nt
Filed under: uncultured bacterium
Lineage: Bacteria
Description: bacterial SSU rRNA
Rfam family: Bacterial small subunit ribosomal RNA
Source: RNAcentral